CUUCAGGAGUUCCCGUCAUGGCGCAGUGGUUAACGAAUCCGACUAGGAACCAUGAGGUUGCGGGUUCGGUCCCUGCCCUUGCUCAGUGGGUUAACGAUCCGGCGUUGCCGUGAGCUGUGGUGUAGGUUGCAGACGCGGCUCGGAUCUGGCGUUGCUGUGGCUCUGGCGUAGGCCGGUGGCUACAGCUCCGAUUCGACCCCUAGCCUGGGAACCUCCAUAUGCCGCGGGAGCGGCCCAAGAAAUAGCAACAAUAACAACAACAAAAAAGACAAAAAAAGACAAAAAAAAAAAAAAAAAAAAAAGACUGACUUCAACUAAGUGAAGAUCAGAGAGAACAUAAAACUAGCAAAAUUGAGAGCUCCAAGCUGUUGAGGCCUUGUCUUCAAACUGCCAAGCUACCUGAUGGCUUACUAACAAAGAGACAAGUGAAUCUAUUGAAUCCCCCCCCCUUUUUUUUCUGCUGACCUGGAAAUAAUGCAAACUUCCUCUUUUCACAGCUGUGUGCCAACCACAAUGCAAACGUGGUGAAUGUGUCGGAUCCAGCAAGCAGCAUCCUGGGUGUGCUGGAAAAACCUGCAGUGCAGGAAGCCCCCUUUGAGGAUAAAAGAAUUCAUCUAAGAGUCAGACCCCUUCCUGGCUGGUGUGUCCGUGUCUGUCAGAUGACAAGCCGUGGGGAGUCAAUAGCACCCUCACCCCACUCCAUCUGUGAUCCCGGAGAACAAGAGAAGAGGGAAGCAGAUCCCGCUCCUGUGAUUUCAAUUACAGGGAGGUGAAAAAUUAUUUGAUAUCCGAGCUUGCUAAAGGCGCCCAUUCCUUCUGCUCCAAAGAUCUUUCCCUCGAAACUGAACAAAAGAGGAGAAAGAAGUUUCGAUGCAUAUUGAGGGGAAGGGGAGUGGGGAGAAAGCCAGCACAGCAGGCAGAGAGUUGAUGACAAUGCAGACAAAAGAAAGAACUUCUUAAGAUUCUUUCUAAGAAAUGGAAUUCGCCCGGCACUGGUUCUUUUAUUAGAACCUUUCUCGCCCUCUCCCUUGCUCUGUAUCUCCCAC
This 1046-nucleotide long non-coding RNA is filed under the name Sus scrofa (pig). RNAcentral's name for it is "lncRNA (ENSSSCG00030034504.1)". Lineage: Eukaryota; Metazoa; Chordata; Mammalia; Artiodactyla; Suidae. The record is from RNAcentral.